AAGUUUGAGAUUGACAUGAAUUCCUUUUUUUUUUGUAUGAUGGACAUGAGCAGAAGCCAAAAAAUGUGGAGGUUGAUUGCACAAUAAAAAAAAAUUGUACUUUCAUUGUUCUGGCAAGCAGUAAUCAUUAUAUCGAGGGAGCGUCCUGAUGGCUUGUUGAUUUGCAAAUGUUGCAAGUAUACGUUAGAUGAUACUCUAGUCUUGUCGCUUAUAAAAUUGCGGGUGUUGUGGCCAAUCAAUUCAACCGCUC
This 250-nucleotide long non-coding RNA is filed under the name Trifolium pratense (red clover). RNAcentral's name for it is "long non-coding RNA (TPRA_LNC008049)". Lineage: Eukaryota; Viridiplantae; Streptophyta; Magnoliopsida; Fabales; Fabaceae. The record is from RNAcentral.